UCUGCAACCUCUGCUCUUCUCCAAUGGAGCUGAAUUUUGGACACCCUAUAGUUUUUGAGCAUAUGAACAACUUUCAAGAAGGAACCAUUUCUGUUUGAGCGACGGAAAUUAAAGUGUUGAAGCUCCAAACAUGACAGUUGGAUUCUUGCAGAUUUCGAAGCUGCUAUGAUGUUUCGAAGAUCUGGAAAUAUUUAACCAUUAGUUCAUUCUGAAUGUUUGAUAUGUUAUGAAAGAGACGAUGAGGCACAACUUCAAUGAAGAAAGCAUGCUGAUCUGAACAAUAGAAAAUGGAGUUUCGAAGCUCACAACAAAUCUGACGGGUUGACAGAAAAAAAAAUAAUAACCAGUCAUUCAUCAUACCUGAAUUUCUUGAGUUAUAUAGCUCCGAGGGAUCUCAAAUUUGGAUAUGUUGUAGUUCACAAGCUGAGGAACAACUUCAAUGAAGAAAGCAUGCUGAUCUGAGCAAGAGAAAAUAUAGUUUCAAAGCUCACAACAAAUCUGACGGGUUGACAGACAAAUGAUAAACAGUCACUCAUCAUACCUGGAUUUCUGGAGUUAUACUGCUCCGAGGGACCUCAAAUUUGGAUAUGUUUUAGUUCACAAGUUAAGGAACAACUUCGAUGAAGAAAGUAUGUUGAUCUGAACAAGAGAAAAUGGAGUUUCGAAGCUCACAACAAGUCUGACAGGUUGACAGAAAAAUGAUGAACAGUCACUCAUCAUACCUGAAUUUCUGGAUUUGUACUGCUCCGAUGGAUCUCAAAUUUGGAUAUGUUGUAGCUGACAAGGUGAGGAACAACUUCAAUGAAGAAAGUAUGUUGAGAUGAACAAGAAAAAAUGGAGUUUAGAAGCUCACAACAAGUCUGACGGGUUAACAGAAAAUUGAUGAACAGUUACUCAUCAUACCUGAAUUUCUGGAGUUGUACUACUCCGAUGGAUCUC
RNAcentral lists this long non-coding RNA (939 nucleotides) under Malus domestica (apple). RNAcentral's name for it is "long non-coding RNA (MDOM_LNC004591)". The record is from RNAcentral. Lineage: Eukaryota; Viridiplantae; Streptophyta; Magnoliopsida; Rosales; Rosaceae.